AUGGCUCAAAAAUCAGUAAAACCCUCCAGAAAUCAUCUCUCCGAUCAGAAAAGUUUCCGCUAUUUGCCGUUAUUGCCCGCUAUGGCCUCCGCUAUAGCUGCUUGGAGAGGCCGCCGUGAAAUCGUUUCUCCCGUGAUUUUAAUCUAUGAUCCAAACGUCGUGGACUCGAGGGGUUUGAGCACGUUCGUGGCGCUCCGUCUUAUCUUUCUCAGUGAACCACCAGCCAGCGCUGUGAGGACGACUCUUCGCGCUUGCUUGGUUGAUCAGAGAGGAGUGCCUAAGCCAUCCCAUGAAGUUUCUCAGAGAAUAACAUUCAAGAAGCCCCAAGAUAGCUCAGAGAGAAUUAAGCUAGAAGGAUUGGGAUAUGUCAAGGAUGACUCUUUUAGUGUGCAGUGCACCCUUGAUGUUCUCAAGGAAAUAGGAGAGGAAACGGCCCUUGAAGAACUGCAUCUGCCAUCGUCUGACUUGCACCUGCAAUUGGCUCAACUCCUUCAGAGCGAGACAGGAGCUGACGUCACAUUUCUCGUGUCCGGCGAAUCUUUUUCUGCGCACAAGCUCAUUGUCGCCGCAAGGUCCCCUGUCUUUAUGGCCGAGUUUUUUGGAGACAUGAAGGAGAAGUGCUCGCAAUGUGUGGAGAUCAAGGACAUGGAUGCUGAGGUGUUCAAGGCCCUGCUUCAGUUCAUCUACACAGACACCAUGCCAGAACUCAGACAGCGGGAGUGGGAUGCGGAGGACGAGGCAGAGUAUGAACAGCAGGAGGAGGCAGAUGCAAAGGCGGCGACUGUGAUGGCUCAGCAUCUGCUUGCUGCUGCUGACAGGUAUGGACUGGAUAGGCUCAAGCACAUAUGUGCCGGUAAGCUCUCUAGUAGCAUCAACGUGGACACGGCGGCAACAACUUUGGCUUUAGCCGAGCAGCACAAUUGCCCAGAGCUCAAGACAAGAUGUGUUCAGUUCAUUAUCAGAACUCCUGCCACUCUUGAUGCUGUGUUGGCGACGGAGGGGUAUAAGCACCUCGAGGCAAGCUGCCCUCUGGUGGUGAUCGACCUUCUCAAGGCUGCGCAUGGGAGAAAAAUUUGA
Molecule: ribosomal RNA, 1077 nt
Filed under: Triticum aestivum (bread wheat)
Lineage: Eukaryota; Viridiplantae; Streptophyta; Magnoliopsida; Poales; Poaceae
Description: partial small subunit ribosomal RNA
Source: RNAcentral